Pelobates cultripes (western spadefoot toad) is the source of this 237-nucleotide non-coding RNA. The record is from the annotation of a GenBank genome assembly. NCBI's taxonomy places the organism in Eukaryota, Metazoa, Chordata, Amphibia, Anura, Pelobatidae.
AAUAAUUUCAAGCCUUUGGUAGGCUGUGAUGUCCUGUGAUGUACAUUUACAUAUGGGAGACGUCCCUAGAUCCCUCUUUGGUAGAGGUUGCCUUUGGUAGGUUAUAAAACAGAUUUCCAGUCUUUGGUGGACUGUGGUAUUUAUUUAACGUAGAUGUCAAUUUUGCAGACUAAAAUGGUUAUUAAAAAAAAAAAAAAAGGGGGUUAAAAGGUAUGAUGGAUGUUUGGCAUUACUCCG